GCUGGGUGUGGUGGCACACACCUGUAAUCCCAGCAACUUGGGAGGCUGAGGCAAAGGGAUCACAAGUUUGAGGCUAACCUGGGCAAUUUAGCUAGAUCCUGUCCCCAAAAU
RNAcentral lists this small RNA (111 nucleotides) under Marmota monax (woodchuck). Lineage: Eukaryota; Metazoa; Chordata; Mammalia; Rodentia; Sciuridae. The record is from RNAcentral.